UGGGAAUAUUGCACAAUGGGCGAAAGCCUGAUGCAGCAACGCCGCGUGAGUGAUGAAGGCCUUCGGGUUGUAAAGCUCUGUCUUUUGGGACGAUAAUGACGGUACCAAAGGAGGAAGCCACGGCUAACUACGUGCCAGCAGCCGCGGUAAUACGUAGGUGGCAAGCGUUGUCCGGAUUUACUGGGCGUAAAGGAUGCGUAGGCGGAUUUUUAAGUGAGAUGUGAAAUACCCGGGCUUAACUUGGGUGCUGCAUUUCAAAACUGGGAAUCUAGAGUGCGGGAGAGGAGAAAUGGAAUUCCUAUGUAGCGGUGAAAUGCGUAGAGAUUAGGAAGAACACCAGUGGCGAAGGCGAUUCUCUGGACCGUAACUGACGCUGAGGCAUGAAAGCGU
RNAcentral lists this ribosomal RNA (390 nucleotides) under uncultured bacterium. RNAcentral describes it as "partial 16S ribosomal RNA". It matches the Rfam family "Bacterial small subunit ribosomal RNA", at positions 356 to 762 of the family's 1533-position model. The record is from RNAcentral.